RNAcentral lists this ribosomal RNA (373 nucleotides) under uncultured bacterium. Its description in RNAcentral is "bacterial SSU rRNA". It matches the Rfam family "Bacterial small subunit ribosomal RNA", at positions 527 to 898 of the family's 1533-position model. The record is from RNAcentral.
GUAGGGUGCGAGCGUUAAUCGGAAUUACUGGGCGUAAAGCGUGCGCAGGCGGUGUGCCAAGCUCGAUGUGAAAGCCCCGGGCUUAACCUGGGAAUUGCAUUGAGGACUGGCGCGCUCGAGUGCGGCAGAGGGGGGUGGAAUUCCACGUGUAGCAGUGAAAUGCGUAGAGAUGUGGAGGAACACCGAUGGCGAAGGCAGCCCCCUGGGCCGACACUGACGCUCAUGCACGAAAGCGUGGGGAGCAAACAGGAUUAGAUACCCUGGUAGUCCACGCCCUAAACGAUGUCGACUGGUUGUUGGGGAAGGCAACUUCCUUAGUAACGAAGCUAACGCGUGAAGUCGACCGCCUGGGGAGUACGGCCGCAAGGUUAAA